RNAcentral lists this unclassified non-coding RNA (385 nucleotides) under Hevea brasiliensis (rubber tree). The record is from RNAcentral. Lineage: Eukaryota; Viridiplantae; Streptophyta; Magnoliopsida; Malpighiales; Euphorbiaceae.
GGGCACUGGAAGAUCUUCUCAAAUUGAGAGUUUUCGGGAUAAGAGUUUGUCAAAUGGAAUAUUCUUCCUUGAACUUCUAAGUGCUGUGGAACCAAGAGUGGUGAAUUGGAACCUUGUUACCAACGGUGAAAAUGAUGAUGAAAAGAGGUUGAAUGCUACAUACAUUAUCAGCGUCGCACGAAAGCUGGGUUGUUCCAUAUUUUUGUUACCUGAUGACAUAAUGGAGGUGAAUCCAAAAAUGAUCCUCACAUUAACUGCCAGCAUUAUGUAUUGGAGCCUUCAACAGCCCGUUGAAGAAAUGGAUAUCUCUCCUUCUCCUGCCACAGCUAGUACUAUCACAGAUAGAUCAACUACCUCGUCCAUCAAUGGUGAGGAUGAGAGCUCC